RNAcentral lists this ribosomal RNA (836 nucleotides) under uncultured fungus. RNAcentral's name for it is "SSU rRNA". It matches the Rfam family "Eukaryotic small subunit ribosomal RNA", at positions 48 to 896 of the family's 1831-position model. Lineage: Eukaryota; Fungi. The record is from RNAcentral.
GCCAUGCAUGUCUAAGUAUAAACUAAUUUAUACGGUGAAACUGCGAUGGCUCAUUAAAUCAGUUAUAGUUUAUUUGAUAUUAACUUACUACUUGGAUAACCGUGGUAAUUCUGCAGCUAAUACAUGCGUUAAACCCCGACUUCUGGAAGGGGCGUACUUAUUAGAUUUAAGCCAACCCUAGCAAUAGGAUUAAGGUUGAUUCAUGAUAAUUUUUCGAAUCGUAUGACUUUGUGUCGACGAUGGUUCAUUCAAAUUUCUGCCCUAUCAACUUUCGAUUGUAGUGUAUUGGACUACAAUGGUUUCAACGGGUAACGGAGAAUUAGGGUUCGAUUCCGGAGAGGGAGCCUGAGAAACGGCUACCGCAUCCAAGGAAGGCAGCAGGCGCGCAAAUUACCCAAUCCUGAUACAGGGAGGUAGUGACAAUAAAUAACAAUACAGAACUUUCGAGUUUUGUAAUUGGAAUGAGAACAAUUUAAAUCCCUUAACGAGGAACAAUUGGAGGGCAAGUCUGGUGCCAGCAGCCGCGGUAAUUCCAGCUCCAAUAGCGUAUAUUCAAGUUGUUGCAGUUAAAAAGCGCGUAGUUGAAUUUUGGCGCUGAUUGUGCGGUUUGGACUCACGUUCAAUACUGUAUGAUUGGGGCUUUCCUUCUAGGGAACUGAUGUGCUAUUAAUUUAGUGGGUCAGGGAUCUAGGACUGUUACUUUGAAAAAAUUAGAGUGUUUAAAACAGGCUUAUGCUUGAAUACAUUAGCAUGGAAUAACGGAAUAGGACUUUGUCUUAUUUUGUUGGUUUAGGAGACAAAGUAAUGAUUAAUAGGGACGAUUAGGGUCAUUAGUA